UUUCGUGCAUGAGCGUCAGUGCAGGCCCAGGGGAUUGCCUUCGCCAUCGGUGUUCCUCCGCAUAUCUACGCAUUUCACUGCUACACGCGGAAUUCCAUCCCCCUCUGCCGCACUCUAGCCUUGCAGUCACAAUGGCAGUUCCCAGGUUGAGCCCGGGGAUUUCACCACUGUCUUACAAAACCGCCUGCGCACGCUUUACGCCCAGUAAUUCCGAUUAACGCUUGCACCCUACGUAUUACCGCGGCUGCUGGCACGUAGUUAGCCGGUGCUUAUUCUUACGGUACCGUCAUGACCCGGGGAUAUUAGCCCCAGGCUUUUCGUUCCGUACAAAAGCAGUUUACAACCCGAGGGCCUUCAUCCUGCACGCGGCAUUGCUGGAUCAGGCUUUCGCCCAUUGUCCAAAAUUCCCCACUGCUGCCUCCCGUAGGAGUCUGGGCCGUGUCUCAGUCCCAGUGUGGCUGGUCGUCCUCUCAGACCAGCUACAGAUCGCAGGCUUGGUAAGCCUUUACCCCACCAACUACCUAAUCUGCCAUCAGCCGCUCUAGUAGCACAAGGCCCGAAGGUCCCCUGCUUUCAUCCGUAGAUCUCAUGCGGUAUUAGCUACUCUUUCGAGUAGUUAUCCCCCACUACUAGGCACGUUCCGAUGUAUUACUCACCCGUUCGCCACUCGUCAGCAUCCGAAGACCUGUUACCGUUCGACUUGCAUGUGUAAAGCAUGCCGCCAGCGUUCAAU
Molecule: ribosomal RNA, 733 nt
Filed under: Comamonas thiooxydans
Lineage: Bacteria; Pseudomonadati; Pseudomonadota; Betaproteobacteria; Burkholderiales; Comamonadaceae
Description: partial 16S rRNA
Source: RNAcentral